ACGCCCACGACCUGUGAAGAAGCCCUGGAAUACCCGGGUCAGCUUGCUGUCACGGAAUGGGACUAGGUUUUGCUUGAGCCUGACAAGGAAGAAGAGACAACUGAGUUUUGGGAAGGAUGCUGACCAUUAUGCGAUCUCAAAGUUCCACUCUCAAGAGUAACCAGUAUCCAGUGACAGGCCUUUCCAUCUGGCCACAAGCAAAAUCCAGAGGCCCCGAUUGUCCUUCCUGUGCUUGGGUGCAAGAUCCGGAUAGAGAAAAUGCUGUGGCUGAAGGAUACAAGAAAGAAGCAGGAAUGAGCACAGUGGGCAUUUUCCCUUGACAGGGCUCAAAGGUAUUUUCCAGUAGUGGCUAUGAAUGGACCCUUUUCUCACCUUCGACUGGAGUUCUGGUUCAGUUACUGCCUUUGACCUCCACUCCUCACUACCUUUCACAUAUGGAUGGCCAUUUUGGUCUUCACAUAGCCGGAGGGUCUGCCUCUUCCGCUGCUGGCUGGGGGCCUCCAACAAGUCAAAGAUCAUCUCAUUAU
This is a long non-coding RNA of Dromiciops gliroides (monito del monte), 527 nucleotides long. RefSeq lists it as uncharacterized. NCBI's taxonomy places the organism in Eukaryota, Metazoa, Chordata, Mammalia, Microbiotheria, Microbiotheriidae. The transcript is spliced from 3 exons. The record is from RefSeq and is a predicted model, not a curated record.